AACGUAGGACGCAAGCGUUAUCCGGAGUUACUGGGCGUAAAGCGCGGGCAGGCGGUUCUUUAAGUCUGAUGUGAAAUCUCCCGGCUCAACCGGGAGCAGCCAUUGGAAACUAGGGAACUGGAGGGCGAGAGAGGUAGGCGGAAUUCCGGGUGGAGUGGUGAAAUGCGUAGAGAUCCGGAGGAACACCAGAGGCGAAGGCGGCCUACUGGCUCGCACCUGACGCUGAGCCGCGAAGGCGUGGGGAGCGAACGGG
RNAcentral lists this ribosomal RNA (253 nucleotides) under uncultured bacterium. RNAcentral describes it as "partial 16S ribosomal RNA". It matches the Rfam family "Bacterial small subunit ribosomal RNA", at positions 524 to 776 of the family's 1533-position model. The record is from RNAcentral.